UGUUGUCAGGUGUCACCGAGAGUUCCCUUACUCACUUCAUUGGGAAAUAAUUAUUUUUGAUAAAUUAUAUAUCCUACUGAAGUGUUUGGGGGAACUCCUGGUUGCAUUUGAUUUUACA
This 118-nucleotide microRNA precursor is filed under the name Prunus persica (peach). RNAcentral describes it as "miR395i stem-loop (ppe-MIR395i)". Its record names the gene ppe-MIR395i. The stretch from base 10 to 107 matches the Rfam family "mir-395 microRNA precursor family". Rfam says of the family: mir-395 was identified in both Arabidopsis thaliana and Oryza sativa computationally and was later experimentally verified. mir-395 is thought to target mRNAs coding for ATP sulphurylases. The mature sequence is excised from the 3' arm of the hairpin. The record is from miRBase by way of RNAcentral. Lineage: Eukaryota; Viridiplantae; Streptophyta; Magnoliopsida; Rosales; Rosaceae.